GAUGUUUAGUAAUUUGGAUGAAUUUCAUGUAUGCCACCAAGCCCUGCCAAGAAACCCUUCCUAAUGCUGUCUCAAAGGAGAGGCAGCAUACUUUAAUCCAAAAAAAAAAAAAAAAAAAAAAAAAUCAAAGGGAGAAUUUGUAUCCCUUAAAGUAUUUUCAAAAAAUUUGUCACACAUCUCUUGACUGCCCACCAGAUUUAUUUUCAGACCUCCUUCUUCAUAUAUGGAGGAGUGGAUGAAAAAAGCUAGGCUUUAGAAAAAGCUAAGUCUGGAGUUCAGGGUUUGAGGUAGCGGGAUUUAAGAAGUACCAUCCUUAAACGGGCAAACAGCUUUAAGAUCCGUGGUCGUUUGAUGUGUGCCUUUGAGAGCGUGUCCCUCAGUUAGAUCAAAUCUGAUUGAGGUCUGGCUAUUUCGAGACACUCCAGCUUCUCGUAACCUGCAGCGAGCUGGAACGGUGCCCGAGAACUCAAAGGGCUACAGACGCUACGAUAAAGGCAACAUAUGCCUCGAAUGAGACUCUUAUGACCGCUCUGGACCAAUGUGAUCGGACUGCAGUAAGGACACUUACAAGACUCCACAACUUUACAUAGAAUGAGCUUGAGAUCUUAUUGAUUUACCAGGAAAUCUUCUUCGCCACUAAAGCUCUGAAAUGGCAUUAGCAUCUGCAUUACGACUCCAAAAAAAGCACGUGGACACAUUGAGCCAGGUUUGACGUCAUUGACGGCAAACAACAUUGGUUCUCGGCAUGUUGUGACAGUUUGAAUAUGCUGAAUUAGAUCUGAGAGCUGCAGUGGAGAACAAGAUCAUCCAAGAUCUAAUUUCAGUUUCUCUCACAAAAAGGGAAAGAGCUGCAUAAAAUAAAGUAAAAAAAUUCUCACCAAUGGUUCAAUACAAAAAAUAACAGCAUACAGUUUUGCAAUAGGGUCAUUACACCCAAGAUGGCGGCGCGAGUACAUCGCGAGGCUCUGGGUCUCUCCAGAUUUUGCAAUUUUGCGGUAUUUUUCUUACUCAUCUCGGGCCUGUUCGUGCAGAACAGCUGUGCCUUUACAUCGUACACCCGUUGUGAGCUUUUGGAUCAACCAUUGUAUAUACUGCACUUGCUACUAUUGCACUUCUGGUUAGACCUAAACUGCAUUUUGUUGCCCUGUACCUGUACUUGUGUAAUGACAAUAAAGUUGAAUCUAAUCUAAUCUAAUCUAAUUUUCAUUAACGGUAAUGCUUUAGAUUAGGGAACACAUAUUCACUAUUAACUAAGAGUUUUCCCUGAGUAAACUUCUAAUUUGCUACUUAUUAAUAUUUAGUAAUGUCGUUAAGUUUAGGUAUGGGGAAGGAUUAAGGGAUCUGAAAUAUGUUCAUGCAGAAUAAGGCAUUAAUGUGUAUUUUAUCGCUACCAAUAAACCUCCAAUAUGCUAGUAAUAUGCAUGUUAAUAAGCAACUUGUUAAUAGUGAGAACUGGUUUAUUAAAUAAAUAAAUAGAUAGAUAGAUAGAUAGAUAGAUAGAUAGAUAGAUAGAUAAGACAAGAGCUAAUAACAAUAUCACUAAAAAUGUAACGAAAAUAAAAGCUAAUUAAUUAUAUUUUUUUAAAAAUUAAUAUAUGAACGAAAACUGUAAUAGUUCGGAAAUAAUACUAAAAUAAUACUAGUUUGCAUAAGGUUGAAUUAAACAAAAUGAGCAAACUGUCAUUUAUUGGUGAACAAUUACUUUAAAGAUAACCUUAGUGUUGCUGGCGAAAUACUCAAUUUGAGCUACAGAAAAACCUGCCUUUAAAAUAAAAAACAAGCACUGACAAAUUGUUCACAAUAAGACUGGGAAUGUGCAUUAAAAAAACAGUAAAUAGGGUCCGUUUUGAUUUCAUGCUGACUUUAACAGUGUUUUCUGGAAGUGUACACAGCAAGCGUGUAAAGGUAGACAUGCUCUCGGAUUAAUUUCUAAGCCCUGCUCAAGCCCUGGGACAGAGGAUCAAACCAAAUGAAAAAUAAAUAAAUAAAUCAAUAAGAUGUUUUUUUUAAGAAGGGAAAAAAGCAAAGUGGCACAUUGAAACAAGCCCGAGGGCUGGAGAGAGCGGCUGAAAUAACACAGAGGGAGGAUUGAGGGAGUCUGCAUGCUGGAUGAUUUGAGGGGGAUUAUCCAUUAUGAGCUCCGAGAUGCUGGAAACUUCAGCCCACUGCAGAGGCGCUUCCCACUGACACCAGUACACACAGCUCAAGGUCACGCAUGUAAGAGAAUGACACACUCCGUAUGACUCAAAUGUGGCCUUGGAGCGCGUCGAGGCGUCUGUAGGCGUUUUCAUUUCCCAAUUUCUGCAGUAAAACACCGUCGCUGCCGAACACAGCAAAUGAAACCUGUUUUCACCAGUGAUUUCUUACUUAGCAGCUAUUUCCUAUCUAGGUAACGGGCAUUAGGUUAAACUACAGAAAAUUACCAAUAAACCCUGACAAUGACGUUAUAGAUGUUGCCUCUCUGGCUCAAAUCGUACUCCAAAAAGCGUUUAAAAAAAAUAAAUAAUGCAACAAAUGCUUUUAGCUAAUAUGCAUGCAACAAAACAAGGCAGUGCUUUUACUAAUGAGUUGAUUUGUUCAUUUAAUCAAAAACGCAGGAUGCACAACAGCUGGUUUCUGUUCCCUUUACAGUAAAUAACUAAUACCCUUUGCAUCAUGGGAAUUUUCUGUGACGUCAGACCCCACAUACAGAGACUUGCAGAAAAUUGCUGUAUACUACUGUAUUUGUUGUAACAGCCUCUUUGGCGCCUUUCUAUUGAGUCUGUUUUAUUUCCUCAUUUCUUACAUUUAGAUUGACACGAUUUGCCCUGCACCGUGUCUACAACGCCGCAACAGCUUAGGACUGACUACACUGGACGUGUUACAUCGCUUGUAAUGAUUGGAAAAUCCAUUUGUCGUUCGUGUUAGAAACAGCGCGAGCGCUUGGAGUACAUCUGUAUGUCAGAAAUAUACCGGGGCAUCACUUUACUGUCCACAUCCAAUGUAGAUAGUAUAUAUAAUAGAUUCUAUAUUGUCUUUUGUUGAGUCGUGCCGCGCCACUCGCCUCCGAGGAAGACACGGAAGCAGCAGGGCAGCGAGACUGGAAGAGCUCUGGAGAACAUCUACGCUGUGUGUCGAUGCACCUUACGAGAGAAUAAGGCCAGCAAGCAAGGCAACUGCAGUGAAGCAUCAAGAAAGACAUGAGCAGGCCAGCCACCCUGAGACUGAUAAUUCAUGAGAAGACAUUUCUGUCACUAACAAAGUGGAGGGUGAGCAAAGGUGGUGGCCACGUUUUGGAGCAGAAACAGGGUUUUGUAUUAUUUGGCUGCUUGUCUUUUUUCCCCUAUUAUGUUUCUGUUGCCUAAAGAUUCUUUGUGAGGAUGAAUCCAGAGGAUUCAACAAAAUGCACUUCAAAACGUCCUAAGACAGGAGAAAUGGUGAAGAUGCACUGUUCCAGAGUUGGAAGACUGUAUUUUAAGUGUUGUACAUGCAAUGUUUUAAAUAAAGAAUGUGUUAUUUUGUAAUUAUUGUGUCUGUUUUAAUUGAAUGCCAGUAGUACCUAUGUAGAGUAAAAAUAAAAUGAAUUCUAUAUAAAAAUUAUAAAAUCUAAUUAAAUCUAUAUUAAAAUGAAUGAAUUACAGUAUACUGAUGAAUUGUAAUUUACUGUAAAACAGUACAGUUUGCAACUGUAAAUCUUAAUUACAGUAUCUUACUGGCAACAUUCAACAGAGCGA
Molecule: long non-coding RNA, 3713 nt
Organism: Onychostoma macrolepis
Lineage: Eukaryota; Metazoa; Chordata; Actinopteri; Cypriniformes; Cyprinidae
Exons: 3
Source: RefSeq, a predicted model, not a curated record